Molecule: transfer RNA, 73 nt
Filed under: Heliconius melpomene (postman butterfly)
Lineage: Eukaryota; Metazoa; Arthropoda; Insecta; Lepidoptera; Nymphalidae
Description: tRNA HMEL010532
Rfam family: tRNA
About the family: Transfer RNA (tRNA) molecules are approximately 80 nucleotides in length. Their secondary structure includes four short double-helical elements and three loops (D, anti-codon, and T loops).
Source: RNAcentral
GAAUGUAUGGCUUAGUUGGUUAGAGCGCUUGAACGAUUUCCAAGGGGUGCGGGUUCGAAUCUCGUUACGUCUC